UCAACCCGGCCCAAACCCGCAAGGGAAAUACAUGUCUUCUUCUUCCUCUCCCCCACUCGUUCUGGUUUAUCUCCAGAGAACGAAACGAGAUAUUCAGGAUAGUUGAAAUCUUACGUACCAGAAGUGAAAGAAGAUGAUUUACAGAAAGUGGAGUCUUCUCACUGGUCCGACGGCCAUAAUCGGAGGCAUCGUCGGCGCCACCAUCGUCGCCAACUACCUUUUCAUCCAGAACGUAAUACUCCCUCCCCUUUCGCUCUUUCCAUUUCUACCAAUCCCUAGCUUUUCCCGCUAAAUCCUCAAUCGCUUGCGUGAAAAAUAAAAACAUCGACUGAGAAUUUUUCCUAUUACCGCUCCAAUUUUCGAUCAGUUUCUGUGAUUGAUAAUUUCAUUUUUUGUACGGUCUAUUGGGAGUUGGGGUUUGUGAAUUGUGAUUGGUUCGUUCUAAUACGUUGCGAUUGCUCUUAAAAUUUGUAGGAUUGGCUUAUCAAAAGAGACCAGAAGAAACAGCCAUCUUCAUCAUCAUCUUCAAAAUAAAGAUGGAACAAUGAAGGUCUUGUUCAGUUGUUUAAAUAAUCUUCCUUGUGCGUUCUUCUUUUGUUCACUGUGAAUAACAUGAAUAUGGUGACAGAUGAUAAUAAUCUGAGAUGUAUUUGCUCUUUCUAUGAUAAAUUCAAUUGCUGAGGCUGAUUUCGACUGACAAAUUAACAUCAAUGUCAUCUGUAGCCAUUUACAAUCAUCUGCAUCACCAAAUCAUUCCAUGAAUCUAUAGGCCCUGGCAAGCACCAAUGCAAGCAAUCAUUUUGAACUUUCUCAUCUUUGUUUGCAAAAGGCUGAGAAUGCAUAUACGGUCCAGGGUGUCCAUCUGGUCUCAACACUGAUAGCCUUGUUGUAUCUAGCAGCUUCAGAACCGCUCGAUUCCCCAAUUCUCCAGCUGUGGCCUUCUCGAAUUCCUCCAGCUCAAUGUCUCUCAUCUGUCUAUCCAAUUCUCCGAUAUCGACCUCGCCGUGUUUGAACGGUACUGUUCGAUUGCAGGUCCCUCCGCUGAACCAUUCUCCGUUCUCGAAGUGGUCCGGUGUGGUCGUUCGCAAGAACAGCGACGCCCUUUGCUUGGCCGCAAAAUUGAGAGCGAGGGCUAUCGCUCUGCGGUAUGCGUAGUCGUGCCCCAGCUCGGUCAGGUUCAUCCCGGGGCAGUAAUGGCACCCUGCGACCUCGUUGUUUUCGUGGUACACUGCGGUCUUCAGGAACCACUUCCCAGCUGCAAUCACCGCGUAGUCGAAGCUCUCGUAUUGCUCGGUCCAUUUGGGAUCGAGCUUGUCGAGGUGGAGCUGGAUUUCUUUUGAGGAGAUGCCGUUGUUGUCCUCGAAGAUCUCGGAUUUGAUCAAGAAUGGAGACCAGAUAACGGAGAGGGUGAAGUUGUGAGAUCGGAACAGCCAUCUUUUGGAUUUGUCCUCUUUGUCACGGUACACUUCCACUCCAUCUUCCACCUUAGAGGUGAAAUAAAAACAAGGUCAAAGCAGAGAUCAAUGUCGUCAACAUUAACCCGAAUAGGGGGUGUUUAUGAGCCGAACUAGCUCGAUAAAUAUUAUAACUGAACUCUAAUUAUAAUAUUAACAUUUAUGUUGGACUAAUUUAGUCUUAAACUUCUCAACUCAUUGUUCAAAUCUAACUAACAUCUCGUUCGGUACAUAUAGACUGAACACUACAUACAGCCACUAAUCGAGCUGGCUCACAAGUUACAAAUCGAGCUGACUCAUGAGCCAAUUACGAGCUCACUCAUUUAUUUUUGAGCCGGGUUUGGAGCAAUUUGAUUUGUCAAUGGCCCUAACCUAACCUUUAAGUAUGUAUUGCAAUUGGAACUGAGCAUUAGGAGAUUGGACAACGACUCCACAACAUAAUUGGUCUUCUUCGUUAAACCUUCACCGCUAAUUUACAAAGAUGGCGACAAAUUUCUCCCACCAUCCGAAUAAUUCCUUUGCUUUUUUUUUUAAUUUAAUUAUUCUCUUAUCCAGCUCGUAAGCAACCUAUCAAACCAUGAACUGACAUUUCAAGCUUUAAGCUUUGAACUGAUAUUACUUACCUUCUACUGAAAGUGGUUCAUAGUUUCAUAUCUUGUCACUGUUCUAUCUACUUCAACUUGAAUAAUGAUUUGAAUUAACCUUCUUCUGGGGUUUUG
This 2173-nucleotide long non-coding RNA is filed under the name Linum usitatissimum (flax). Its description in RNAcentral is "long non-coding RNA (LUSI_LNC006919)". Lineage: Eukaryota; Viridiplantae; Streptophyta; Magnoliopsida; Malpighiales; Linaceae. The record is from RNAcentral.